UAGCGCGGUGGUCCCACCUGACCCCAUGCCGAACUCAGAAGUGAAACGCCGUAGCGCCGAUGGUAGUGUGGGGACUCCCCAUGCGAGAGUAGGG
Molecule: ribosomal RNA, 94 nt
Filed under: Escherichia coli O55:H7 str. 3256-97
Lineage: Bacteria; Pseudomonadati; Pseudomonadota; Gammaproteobacteria; Enterobacterales; Enterobacteriaceae
Source: RNAcentral